AAGAACAAACAGCGGUCGUGGGGGGAGUGGAAGAAAGGAACACGGCCACCAAGAUCGAAGCCCUGGGCCCUGCCUAACAGCGGCAGGUGGCGUAGAAACAGCAGGGAGUGCCAGUGCCAGGGGGAAGGCCCAUGAUGGAGGCAGCUUCAGUUGCGAAUUCAGGAGAGUUUUCUCCCUGGCUUGCACAGGGACGAAUUCGUAGGACGUGCACGGGGCGGUGUGUGGGGGGGUCCUGUCUCUGAAUUGUCCUGCCAAUCCCUUUUCCACACCCGGUGCCAAAAGGAGGGCUUGCCUGGCCUCCCUUCUCCCCACUUGCUCUCUGCUCUCCCCUCUUGCCUGCUCUCAGUCUCUUUAGCCGGCUAGAACCGUCUACCUUUCCUUAUAUAGCCGAGGCCAAAAGGAUUUCUCACUCUCCUUAUUAUGAACAGGCGGAGCAGGGUUUGGAAGGGGGGGGGGAGAGACUGCCAAAAAUAGCAAGCAAGCACGGUCCAGGGGGUGAGGGCGGGAGAGAGCGCCGAGCAAGGGAGGUCUGUCCCGGGCUGGCUGCACAUCUGCAAAGGACACCGCUCUGCACCCGGGACCAGAGGGUGCAAGGAGGAACGGCUGGCUUUGGCGGAGGGCCUCGGAGCGAGGUCUGAGGCUUGCGAGGAGAAGCUCCGUGGUUUAAGCCUCUGGUUGUGGAGCCCGAGUUUGGGAGUUUGAUUCCCCCACGGUGCCUCCUGGACAGGAGCUGGAUUCAGGGUACCUUCCAGCUCUGUAGUUCUAGAUGAUGAUGAUGAUGAUGAAAAGGAAGAAAAACUUUUAAAAGCCUCCAGAUUCUCCCUCAUCUCUGCCUCAAGGCGACUGAGCAGAGAGGGCCCUUCCACUUGUCAUUUUUAGAAGAUUCUUACAAGGCAAGGUCUUCAAAAGCAACUUUCCUAAUCUUGGGUUCACACACGCAGAAAAAAACAAAAGAAAAACAGUGUUGAUGGUGUGUUGCAAGGUUUCUGUCUAAAAACAUCCCAAGGGUGUUGUUGAUACCUGAAACCAUUAAAAAGGAGGCCUCUUUUGAAAAAUGUUAAGAGUUUGGCUUUUAUAUAUUGACAUUUUGCUUAGCUUCAGCAGCCGUUUGUUUUGACAAUAACAUCAAAGGCGGCAGCGCUGUGUUCUUCUCCAAAUACGUGUUCUUCCCCAGGCGGUCAAUCUAUGGUGUUUGCAAUGGGCAGAACAGACUCUGAGAUCAGCAACAUCUAGGGCUGUCAGACUGAAGUUCUAGGACUCCUUGCAAGAAUAUGAAACUUCUGCAAAAAUUCAGAUUCUCCCAGUGCUGGAGUGUAAUGAGAGAGUGUGUCCAAGAUCGCUCCUAAGGCUCUCCUCGUGUCCCUAGUAAAUCCCAGCUCCACGUCCUCACCUAGAGGAGGACUCAUCACCAAACUGCCCUUUCCCACAGAGCAAAGAGAGGGAGAAAUUUGUUUCAAAUUCAAUGGUGAGGAAAUCCACAAUUAGAAGCAGUACAUAUUUCUAUGCCUAGAACAGCAGUGUUUUGUAACUGUGGAUGUUCAUAAAAAGGAGAAGAUUUUGGCUUCUUUUCCUCCCUCCUGCUUUUCUCCUACAGACAUACAGGGCAUUAAAAUGAUCUUAACUUAAAAAUGGCAUUCA
Pogona vitticeps (central bearded dragon) is the source of this 1638-nucleotide long non-coding RNA. Lineage: Eukaryota; Metazoa; Chordata; Lepidosauria; Squamata; Agamidae. The record is from Ensembl.